RNAcentral lists this ribosomal RNA (509 nucleotides) under uncultured Glomeromycotina. RNAcentral describes it as "SSU rRNA". It matches the Rfam family "Eukaryotic small subunit ribosomal RNA", at positions 569 to 1079 of the family's 1831-position model. The record is from RNAcentral. Lineage: Eukaryota; Fungi; Glomeromycota.
AGCAGCCGCGGUAAUUCCAGCUCCAAUAGCGUAUAUUAAAGUUGUUGCAGUUAAAAAGCUCGUAGUUGAACUUCGGGGUUCACCCAUUGGUCAGGCUUAAUUGUCUGUACUGGUGAGAUGAAUCUCUACCUUCUGAGGAACUUUCAUGCCAUUUAUUUGGUGUGAUUGGAAAUCAGGACUGUUACUUUGAAAAAAUUAGAGUGUUUAAAGCAGGCUAACGUCUGAAUACAUUAGCAUGGAAUAAUGAAAUAGGACGGAUUGAUUCUAUUUCGUUGGUUUCUAGGACCACCGUAAUGAUUAAUAGGGAUAGUUGGGGACAUUAGUAUUCAAUUGUCAGAGGUGAAAUUCUUGGAUUUAUUGAAGACUAACUACUGCGAAAGCAUUUGCCAAGGAUGUUUUCAUUAAUCAAGAACGAAAGUUAGGGGAUCGAAGACGAUCAGAUACCGUCGUAGUCUUAACCAUAAACUAUGCCGACUAGGGAUCGGACGCAGUUAAUUUUAUAAUGACGU